AGGAGUUGCGUGGAUGGUAGCAACCGGCCCUCUGUUCUUUGCUGGGCAAAUAACAUUGUAAGCGCGAGAUAAUCUUCAUCCUCCUCAUUUUUGCGUUUUUGUAGACAAAAAUAAUGGUAAUUUAAAAAGAAGAUUCUUUUUACCCAGGGGUUUGUUGUCUAUAUUUUAUUCGACAUGGGAAGAAACUGGAGGAUUAUAAGCAGGAAAAUAACACGAUCUGAUGACAAAGUUACGUUUUCCGAUUCCCUGUAACUCAAAGCACAAUCCUGGCAUAUUACUGAAUAAAUUAAAUUCGUUCAUCGAUUACUCCCCAACUUUUGCUUCCUGAAUAAAUAAAUGUUCGCUCAAUUGAUUUACAUAAUAACCAAAGAAUCCCACCCAGAAAAGGCGGCGGAGGCUCAGGAUGUGACUGGAACUCUUUAAAACCUGACAUUUUGGGUUCUGUGGGUGUGAACAAUGGGCGGGGUGCGGUGCCGGACGAGGAGGGGGGUGGGGGCGUUCUGAAUGAGCUUUGUAGAAGGUUGAGAAGAGCUUGGAUUAGAUUUACAGGUACACAAAAUCCGAAUUCUGCUGUCGGUGAGUUGUGCGCUGCGGAGAGACAGGGACUUGAGCUGCACACCCAUCGUCAAAACAAACUGAACUUUGUGCUCAAGGGGAACCAGGUGUAUUUCAUCGUUGCUUUCUGGCUUCUGGCUAUGGUUGGUGGAUGGACAAUAUCAGCAGAGAACACAUACAGGGAGACCAAAAGAGAUCAGGGCAUUUCUGGCAGUGGAACAGUCCUCCCUGAACACAGAUCCUGUGGGGUGCUUUUUCUUCUAGAGCUCCAGUUCUCCAAGAGCUCCAGCAAUACUUCACCCUCCCCUGCCUCCUAUGUUUGGUAUUAGGGAUGUAAGAGCUCCCAUUUAAUCACUAUUAAAAAAAAAAGUGAAUGUA
Molecule: long non-coding RNA, 933 nt
Organism: Cavia porcellus (domestic guinea pig)
Lineage: Eukaryota; Metazoa; Chordata; Mammalia; Rodentia; Caviidae
Exons: 2
Source: RefSeq, a predicted model, not a curated record